This 1446-nucleotide ribosomal RNA is filed under the name Vibrio vulnificus. RNAcentral's name for it is "partial 23S ribosomal RNA". It matches the Rfam family "Bacterial large subunit ribosomal RNA", at positions 1 to 1507 of the family's 2925-position model. The record is from RNAcentral. Lineage: Bacteria; Pseudomonadati; Pseudomonadota; Gammaproteobacteria; Vibrionales; Vibrionaceae.
GGUUAAGUGACUAAGCGUACACGGUGGAUGCCUUGGCAGUCAGAGGCGAUGAAGGACGUAGUAACUUGCGAUAAGCGUAGAUGAGGCAGUAACAGCCACUUGAGUCUACGAUUUCCGAAUGGGGAAACCCACUGGCAUAAGCCAGUAUCAUUGAGUGAAUACAUAGCUCAAUGAAGCGAACCGGGAGAACUGAAACAUCUAAGUACCCCGAGGAAAAGAAAUCAACCGAGAUUCCGAAAGUAGCGGCGAGCGAAAUUGGAUUAGCCCUUAAGCUUUACAUGUGUUAGACGAACGGUCUGGAAAGUCCGACGAUACAGGGUGAUAGUCCCGUAGUUGUAGAUGCAUGUUCAGUGAAAUCGAGUAGGGCGGGACACGUGUUAUCCUGUCUGAAUAUGGGGGGACCAUCCUCCAAGGCUAAAUACUCCUGACUGACCGAUAGUGAACCAGUACCGUGAGGGAAAGGCGAAAAGAACCCCUGUGAGGGGAGUGAAAUAGAACCUGAAACCGUGUACGUACAAGCAGUAGGAGCACCUUCGUGGUGUGACUGCGUACCUUUUGUAUAAUGGGUCAGCGACUUAUAUUCAGUGGCAAGGUUAACCAUCUAGGGGAGCCGUAGGGAAACCGAGUCUUAACUGGGCGCCAUAGUCUCUGGAUAUAGACCCGAAACCGAGUGAUCUAGCCAUGGGCAGGUUGAAGGUUGAGUAACAUCAACUGGAGGACCGAACCGACUAAUGUUGAAAAAUUAGCGGAUGACUUGUGGCUAGGGGUGAAAGGCCAAUCAAACUCGGAGAUAGCUGGUUCUCCCCGAAAGCUAUUUAGGUAGCGCCUCGGACGAAUACUACUGGGGGUAGAGCACUGUUAAGGCUAGGGGGUCAUCCCGACUUACCAACCCUUUGCAAACUCCGAAUACCAGUAAGUACUAUCCGGGAGACACACGGCGGGUGCUAACGUCCGUCGUGGAGAGGGAAACAACCCAGACCGCCAGCUAAGGUCCCAAAUUACAGCUAAGUGGGAAACGAUGUGGGAAGGCUUAGACAGCUAGGAUGUUGGCUUAGAAGCAGCCAUCAUUUAAAGAAAGCGUAAUAGCUCACUAGUCGAGUCGGCCUGCGCGGAAGAUGUAACGGGGCUAAGUUGUAAACCGAAGCUGCGGCAAUGUUCUUUGAACAUUGGGUAGGGGAGCGUUCUGUAAGCCGUUGAAGGUGUGUUGUAAAGCAUGCUGGAGGUAUCAGAAGUGCGAAUGCUGACAUGAGUAACGACAAGGGGGGUGAAAAACCUCCCCGCCGGAAGACCAAGGGUUCCUGUCCAACGUUAAUCGGGGCAGGGUAAGUCGACCCCUAAGGCGAGGCCGAAAGGCGUAGUCGAUGGGAAACGGGUUAAUAUUCCCGUACUUCUUACAAUUGCGAUGGGGGGACGGAGAAGGCUAGGUGGGCCUGGCGACGGUUGUCC